UUCCUAUUAAGGAGAGAAAAACAAAAAGAAGUUGUAGAACUACAACCUCUAAUGUAAAUGUUUUUGAGAAGGAUGAGCUGGUUUAAUGGAUAAAUAACAUUUCUCGGAUGGCUGUAGAAUCAAUAAUAAUAAAAAAGCUUCUGCAUAUUUGUUAUUUUCCAUGUUCAAUUUCAAAACAGGAUUACUGAAUUUUGGAAGGUAUGUAAAAUUAAUUUUUUGUAUAAAGAUAACAAUUCAUAUGAAAAUGGGAUACACAGCUAACACUGGUACCAAAUACAGGCUUCCUGUUAAGACAGAUUAUGUAAAUUUACCCCUCUGUUUUCACUUAAUCUGUUCCUCCUAUGUAUUUAUAGUUGUGUUUUUUAAGCAACAGGAUUGCUCACUGCUUCCAAAGGCACACUCAAUCCUCUAUAAAACCACUAACCCUACUCUACUGUUACACAAACAAACAAUGGGCUGUAUACUUAUUACUUACAAAAAAUAAGAAACAUACCCUCUCUGUAGAGGCCUUUUGUACAUUCAAGAUUUUAACUCCAUUUGGCAGAUGAAACUCAUGAGUUUCAUAGUCGGUGCUGAACAAAGUAUUUUGUGUUCGUGGGUCAACAAAUUCCAUGCCAAUAUCGCUGGUAAUA
Taeniopygia guttata (zebra finch) is the source of this 632-nucleotide non-coding RNA. The record is from RefSeq and is a predicted model, not a curated record. NCBI's taxonomy places the organism in Eukaryota, Metazoa, Chordata, Aves, Passeriformes, Estrildidae.